UGCAUAUCAAUAAGCGGAGGAAAAGAAACUAACAAGGAUUCCCCUAGUAACGGCGAGUGAAGCGGGAAGAGCUCAAAUUUGUAAUCUGGCACUUUCAGUGUCCGAGUUGUAAUCUCGAGAAGUAUUUUCCGCGCCGGACCGCAUACAAGUCUGUUGGAAUACAGCGUCAUAGUGGUGAGAACCCCGUAACUGAUGCGGAUGCCCGGUGCUUUGUGAUAUACUUUCGAAGAGUCGAGUUGUUUGGGAAUGCAGCUCAAAUUGGGUGGUAAAUUCCAUCUAAAGCUAAAUAUUGGAGCAAGACCGAUAGCGAACAAGUACCGUGAGGGAAAGAUGAAAAGCACUUUGGAAAGAGAGUUAACAGUACGUGAAAUUGUUGGAAGGGAAACGCUUGAAGUCAGACUUGCUAUUCGGAGUUCAGCCGCAAGGUGUAUUCUUCGAUUUGCAGGCCAGCAUCAGUUUUUGGGGGUGGAAAAUCGUGGUUUGAAGGUAGCAGUUUCGGCUGUGUUAUAGCUUUCCACUGGAUUCAUCUUCGGGGACUGAGGAACGCAGUACGCUUUUUGCAAGGCUUUCGAGCUUUUCGUACUUAGGAUGCUGGUGGAAUGGCUUUAAACGACCCGUCUUGAAACACGGACC
Molecule: ribosomal RNA, 633 nt
Filed under: Leucosporidium sp.
Lineage: Eukaryota; Fungi; Basidiomycota; Microbotryomycetes; Leucosporidiales; Leucosporidiaceae
Description: LSU rRNA
Rfam family: Eukaryotic large subunit ribosomal RNA
Source: RNAcentral